GAUGAACGCUGGCGGCGUGCUUAACACAUGCAAGUCGAACGGGAAACCUUUUAUUGAAGCUUCGGCAGAUUUAGCUGGUUUCUAGUGGCGGACGGGUGAGUAACGCGUGGGUAACCUGCCUUAUACAGGGGGAUAACAGUCAGAAAUGGCUGCUAAUACCGCAUAAGCGCACAGAGCUGCAUGGCUCAGUGUGAAAAACUCCGGUGGUAUAAGAUGGACCCGCGUUGGAUUAGCUGGUUGGUGGGGUAACGGCCCACCAAGGCGACGAUCCAUAGCCGGCCUGAGCGGGUGAACGGCCACAUUGGGACUGAGACACGGCCCAGACUCCUACGGGAGGCAGCAGUGGGGAAUAUUGCACAAUGGGGGAAACCCUGAUGCAGCGACGCCGCGUGAAGGAAGAAGUAUCUCGGUAUGUAAACUUCUAUCAGCAGGGAAGAUAAUGACGGUACCUGACGAAGAAGCCCCGGCUAACUACGUG
This 478-nucleotide ribosomal RNA is filed under the name uncultured bacterium. Its description in RNAcentral is "partial 16S ribosomal RNA". It matches the Rfam family "Bacterial small subunit ribosomal RNA", at positions 28 to 507 of the family's 1533-position model. The record is from RNAcentral.